CAACUCUGUGGAAAAAGAUAAAUCUCCCUAGGAGUAGUCGCUCCGUCGUUCGAUUUCCUAUCUUCCUUUGAGUUG
This 75-nucleotide non-coding RNA is filed under the name unclassified sequences. The record is from RNAcentral.